This 253-nucleotide ribosomal RNA is filed under the name uncultured bacterium. RNAcentral describes it as "partial 16S ribosomal RNA". It matches the Rfam family "Bacterial small subunit ribosomal RNA", at positions 524 to 776 of the family's 1533-position model. The record is from RNAcentral.
GACGAACCGAGCGAACGUUGUUCGGAAUCACUGGGCUUAAAGGGCGCGUAGGCGGAUGCUCAAGUCCGUGGUGAAAUCCCACAGCUCAACUGUGGAACUGCCUCGGAUACUGGGUGUCUCGAGGGUGGUAGGGGUAUGCGGAACUAUCGGUGGAGCGGUGAAAUGCGUUGAUAUCGAUAGGAACUCCGGUGGCGAAGGCGGCAUACUGGACCACUUCUGACGCUGAGGCGCGAAAGCCAGGGGAGCGAACGGG